UCACGGAGAGUUUGAUCCUGGCUCAGGACGAACGCUGGCGGCGUGCUUAACACAUGCAAGUCGAACGAUGAAGCCGCUUCGGUGGUGGAUUAGUGGCGAACGGGUGAGUAACACGUGGGCAAUCUGCCCUGCACUCUGGGACAAGCCCUGGAAACGGGGUCUAAUACCGGAUAUGACACGGGAUCGCAUGGUCUCCGUGUGGAAAGCUCCGGCGGUGCAGGAUGAGCCCGCGGCCUAUCAGCUUGUUGGUGGGGUGAUGGCCUACCAAGGCGACGACGGGUAGCCGGCCUGAGAGGGCGACCGGCCACACUGGGACUGAGACACGGCCCAGACUCCUACGGGAGGCAGCAGUGGGGAAUAUUGCACAAUGGGCGCAAGCCUGAUGCAGCGACGCCGCGUGAGGGAUGACGGCCUUCGGGUUGUAAACCUCUUUCAGCAGGGAAGAAGCGCGAGUGACGGUACCUGCAGAAGAAGCACCGGCUAACUACGUGCCAGCAGCCGC
Molecule: ribosomal RNA, 502 nt
Filed under: Streptomyces sp.
Lineage: Bacteria; Bacillati; Actinomycetota; Actinomycetes; Kitasatosporales; Streptomycetaceae
Description: bacterial SSU rRNA
Rfam family: Bacterial small subunit ribosomal RNA
Source: RNAcentral